CAACGAGCGCGGCUGCAGCGGGACGAGCCGCUCCGGGCCGGGCGCUGGCGCCGAGGCCGCUGCUGCCGCUCCUGCUCUCACUGUGCCCGCUGCGGGACCGGGGCCUCGCCGGGGCUCGCUGCUGCUUGAGCCGCUCAUCCCGCAACUGCCGCAGCACAGGACAUCCUGAGUGGGAAUGGAUACACAAAGACCACCAAGUCGCACCCUUAUGUGAAUGGCUCCUCUGGCGAUUGAACCCACACCUGGGCACUCUCAGCACCCUGCUCCAGCCAAGCCAAUCUCAGCUCCUGGCAAUAUCCUGCCUGGGAUAGGAAUGCCAAGUGCCAGCAAGGUCAUUCCUAUGCAAAUACAGCUCCUUCUUUUAUGCUAAUGCUGCUUUCCACACCAGCCCCUGCAAUGGCCCCAGGGCAGAGCUCCAUGGCCAGCAUCUGAUCAUGCAACAACACAGGUGAGCAGUUGUGUGACAGCACUGAACUCUUCCCAUAACCUGAUUUCCUGCCCUUUCCAGGAUUUACCCAACAGCUGUAAAGGUGCUCGUUCCAUGGCCCUUUCCAGGGAGAAAUGAGCAAGGCAAGUCCUGAGGGUUCACUUGGUCCACGGCCAAAGCUCUUCUGGAGAGGGUCAGGGCUGCUCCUGCCUGCAGAGGGGCCUUUCCCACAGUUCCCCACUGAGAAGAACACAACCUCACAGCUGUUAAGGCCUGACAGUUCCCUGCAGGGAGAGCUCAGCACAUGUGCCCAGAGGCAAUCCCAGCAUCUGAAAGAAAGAAAGAAGCAGCAAAAGUGACUUUUGCAAGCAAACUCUGAAGCUGACAAGCCCAGAAGCUCCAUCCAUCCACUCUGGAAGGAAAGGAUACUCCCAGGGAUGAGGCACAUUCCCAGCAAACUCUCCCAACACAGCCUGGAGGCAGCGCUGGAGCUCGGCUGUGGGGCUGGGAAGGGCUGCCAGGAGCACGCAGCCCCCAGGUGGGGUGGCAGCGGCAGCAGCAAAUUCCCACAGGCUGAUGGCACAACAGAGAGACAAAGGCCAGCAGUGCCCAUGGGAGGUGCAGGGUUAAUUCUGCUCCCUGCCCUGCCCCAUCCCCGCAGGAAAUCUCCAAGAGGGAGAGAAACUCUCAGGGUGCCCAAAAUGCAGCAUCUGUCACCCUGAUCCCGCUUCAACUCAGCGUGGGGGGCCAAACUCCCCCCACAGGUAAACACUGAGCUGACCUGGUCAGUCUCAAACACAGCCCCAGUUCUCACCUCCAGCCUGCUCCUGGGGCUGCUGCCACAUUCCUGACAAGGAGCCCCUGUGGACAGGGCUCUCUCUGUGUCUCAGGUGCUGGGCACUGCAGGGACCAGGGCAGCCCCCUCUGGGGACAAUUGGGGAUUCAUCCCACACCACAGGCAGGACCAGGGGCCCUCCAGUACAGGCUGGUGGGGCCAGAGCCCAUUGGGUUUGGCUGCUCAAAUACCAAAGCUUUUGGCAAAGAUGGGACAAGUUAAGUGGGUUUUCCUGUCCUGAGAGAGAGAAGAAAUUGUUGAAAUUAAGCAUGGAAAUUAAGUCCACUGUGGAAGUCAAAGGCUCCUGGCUUUCCCACUCCUGUUCUGAUUGCUCACUAGAGGGUUUUAUCCAUAAAAAAAUGAGAGGUGGCACCAAAUAAAAGAGCUCUUUUUCAA
Molecule: long non-coding RNA, 1658 nt
Organism: Corvus hawaiiensis (hawaiian crow)
Lineage: Eukaryota; Metazoa; Chordata; Aves; Passeriformes; Corvidae
Exons: 4
Source: RefSeq, a predicted model, not a curated record